GGGGCUAUGUGGCUAAUUUUCUCGAAUCUUUUGACCUUAUCCUAUUGUUUUGCAACACAAAAGAGUUGAUGGAUUGUUGCUUUAGAUAUUAUUGCAUCCCAUAUGUCUUGAUCUAAAUGUUGUCAAGGAAAGUUGAAAUGUUUAUUAUUGAUGUUUUCAUUGUGAUUUUGAUUUAUGAGGUUUGAUAUAUGGUACGAACCAAUGCACAACAACCCAUGGUUUUA
RNAcentral lists this long non-coding RNA (224 nucleotides) under Gossypium raimondii (Peruvian cotton). RNAcentral describes it as "long non-coding RNA (GRAI_LNC005444)". Lineage: Eukaryota; Viridiplantae; Streptophyta; Magnoliopsida; Malvales; Malvaceae. The record is from RNAcentral.